ACGACUCUCGGCAACGGAUAUCUCGGCUCUCGCAUCGAUGAAGAACGUAGCGAAAUGCGAUACUUGGUGUGAAUUGCAGAAUCCCGUGAACCAUCGAGUCUUUGAACGCAAGUUGCGCCCCAAGCCUUCUGCCGAGGCACGUCUGCCUGGGUGUCACA
RNAcentral lists this ribosomal RNA (158 nucleotides) under Crambe hispanica subsp. hispanica. Its description in RNAcentral is "5.8S ribosomal RNA". It matches the Rfam family "5.8S ribosomal RNA". Rfam says of the family: 5.8S ribosomal RNA (5.8S rRNA) is a component of the large subunit of the eukaryotic ribosome. The record is from RNAcentral. Lineage: Eukaryota; Viridiplantae; Streptophyta; Magnoliopsida; Brassicales; Brassicaceae.